This 446-nucleotide ribosomal RNA is filed under the name uncultured bacterium. RNAcentral's name for it is "partial 16S ribosomal RNA". It matches the Rfam family "Bacterial small subunit ribosomal RNA", at positions 338 to 795 of the family's 1533-position model. The record is from RNAcentral.
CCUACGGGUGGCAGCAGUCGAGAAUCAUUCACAAUGGGGGAAACCCUGAUGGUGCGACGCCGCGUGGGGGAAUGAAGGUCUUCGGAUUGUAAACCCCUGUCAUGUGGGAGCAAAUUAAAAAGAUAGUACCACAAGAGGAAGAGCCGGCUAACUCUGUGCCAGCAGCCGCGGUACUACAGAGGUCUCAAGCGUUGUUCGGAAUCACUGGGCGUAAAGCGUGCGUAGGCGGUUUCGUAAGUCGUGUGUGAAAGGCGCGGGCUCAACCCGCGGACGGCACAUGAUACUGCGAGACUAGAGUAAUGGAGGGGGAACCGGAAUGCUCGGUGUAGCAGUGAAAUGCGUAGAUAUCGAGAGGAACACUCGUGGCGAAGGCGGGUUCCUGGACAUUAACUGACGCUGAGGCACGAAGGCCAGGGGAGCGAAAGGGAUUAGAUACCCCAGUAGUC